Molecule: transfer RNA, 71 nt
Filed under: Cordylochernes scorpioides
Lineage: Eukaryota; Metazoa; Arthropoda; Arachnida; Pseudoscorpiones; Chernetidae
Description: tRNA-Gly
Source: RNAcentral
UGCAUCUGCCGGGAAUCGAACCCGGGCCGCCCACGUGGCAGGCGAGCAUUCUACCACUGAACCACAGAUGG